This 867-nucleotide non-coding RNA is filed under the name Anneissia pinguis. The record is from RNAcentral. Lineage: Eukaryota; Metazoa; Echinodermata; Crinoidea; Comatulida; Comatulidae.
GAAAACUUGGUCCCAAUUUCUUUUACUUUUUUAUCUAUAAUGAUACAUGCAAAGGAUAACCCCUUAACCAGUGAGGUAUUUUACUAAUAAAUUAAAAUACAAAAUAAACAAAUGACAUAAAGAAAAAUUUUUUUCUAAAAACAUAGAAACCCACAACAGCAGUACUAAAAAUUAAGCAAUUAGUAAAAUCUAGACUUAAUAAUAGAAAAAGCAUUGGUAAAAAUACGUGCCAGCCACCGCGGUUAUACGUAAAAUGCAAAAAGUAAUAAAAACAUCUUAGUGAUAAACUAAUCACCUCUAGUGAAAAAAAAUUAAAUCAAAACAACAGUCAAAUGUAAAAAAUAAAAGAAAACCCACUACGCAAAAGCAAAACACUAAUGACAAAUCACGUAAAUAUAAAAACAAACCAGGAUUAGAGACCCUGCUAUGUUAUAUCAUAAACAAGAAAAAAGAACUACUAGUCACAAAACUUAAAACUUAAAGGACUUGGCGGUUUUUUAGACCUUCCUAGAGGAGCCUGCCACACAAUUGUCAACCCACAAAACACCUUACCUAACUUAGAAUAAACAGCCUGUAUAUCAUCAUCGUCAGCUCACCUUUACCAAAAGAGAAGUAAGCAAAAAGGAAACCCCAAAACGUUAGAUCAAGAUGCAGCCAAUAGAUAGGAGCAAGGUGGGCUACAAUAUUCUUCACGAAUAACGAAUUUUUUAUUUAAAUAAAAAAAUGAAGUAGGAUUUAGCAGUAAUGAGAAUUAAAGAAAAGACCCAUGAAAAAGCCCUAAAAUACGUACACACCGCCCGUCACUCUCUUUAACAUAAAAAGAGAAAAGUCGUAACAAGGUAAGAGUAGGGGAACCUGCUCUUGGAA